CAGUCGCCGCGGGAAUACGAAGGUCCCAAGCGUUGUUCGGAAUCACUGGGCGUAAAGGGAGCGUAGGCGGCGUGGUAAGUCAGAUGUGAAAUCCCGGGGCUCAACCCCGGAACUGCAUCCGAUACUGCCAUGCUUGAGGGUUGGAGAGGUAGCUGGAAUUCUCGGUGUAGCAGUGAAAUGCGUGGAUAUCGAGAGGAACACUCGUGGCGAAGGCGAGCUACUGGACAACAUCUGACGCUGAGGCUCGAAGGCUAGGAUAGCGAAAGGAAUUAGAUACCCCCGUAGUCCCUGUCUCUUAUAC
RNAcentral lists this ribosomal RNA (301 nucleotides) under uncultured bacterium. RNAcentral describes it as "partial 16S ribosomal RNA". It matches the Rfam family "Bacterial small subunit ribosomal RNA", at positions 509 to 807 of the family's 1533-position model. The record is from RNAcentral.